Molecule: non-coding RNA, 131 nt
Filed under: Lachnospiraceae bacterium
Lineage: Bacteria; Bacillati; Bacillota; Clostridia; Lachnospirales; Lachnospiraceae
Description: MoCo sequence
Rfam family: Molybdenum/Tungsten riboswitch aptamer (Moco RNA motif)
Source: RNAcentral
CAAGUAAAUAAACUCCGAGUCCCGGAUUUCUGACGUAUGGAAGCCGAUAAGCAUACGGGAAGGCGGGACCAAUGGGUAGCGCGGGUAACGGUGCUGCCUGCCUGAUUGCGAAGGAGUCCAUUAUUAUGCGG